Molecule: small RNA, 448 nt
Filed under: Histoplasma capsulatum var. duboisii H88
Lineage: Eukaryota; Fungi; Ascomycota; Eurotiomycetes; Onygenales; Ajellomycetaceae
Description: Histoplasma capsulatum H88 hypothetical RNA
Source: RNAcentral
CUGCACUCUUUGGUUCUUAUUCAAUAAGCCCUGGGCUGUGCCGCAGGUUUAUAACAGUAACCCAACCCAUCUAUAACUAUUGAUAGAAACUUACUCUUUGCUCUGUUUUUGUAUAUAAUUUGAGCAUCUCAAGACUAUCCAGUAUGAUAAUCAAAGAGAGUUGCUAUUAUCUUAUCUCAGCGAGCUCAGGUUGCAGCAGCAUGGACUUUCAAUUACACAAUAGUCACAUAUCUUUGAGAUUUGUGAAUCACCUUAGACUGUAGCAAAAGAGAAGAAGAAUAUAAAUAUAUAAUUUUUAUAUUUAAAAAAAUUAAUAUUUCAUAUAGAUGUAUCUUGUUGAAAAUGAUCGCUUUAUUUCUUUGACGAUAUGAAAAUUAAAAAAGUGAUUCUAUCAAGAGGGAAAUGAUAUUUAGCUAGCUAGUUCGAUUAGUUACACGCAGUACGCAGU